RNAcentral lists this ribosomal RNA (1422 nucleotides) under Lactiplantibacillus plantarum. Its description in RNAcentral is "bacterial SSU rRNA". It matches the Rfam family "Bacterial small subunit ribosomal RNA". The record is from RNAcentral. Lineage: Bacteria; Bacillati; Bacillota; Bacilli; Lactobacillales; Lactobacillaceae.
CAGUCGAACGAACUCUGGUAUUGAUUGGUGCUUGCAUCAUGAUUUACAUUUGAGUGAGUGGCGAACUGGUGAGUAACACGUGGGAAACCUGCCCAGAAGCGGGGGAUAACACCUGGAAACAGAUGCUAAUACCGCAUAACAACUUGGACCGCAUGGUCCGAGUUUGAAAGAUGGCUUCGGCUAUCACUUUUGGAUGGUCCCGCGGCGUAUUAGCUAGAUGGUGGGGUAACGGCUCACCAUGGCAAUGAUACGUAGCCGACCUGAGAGGGUAAUCGGCCACAUUGGGACUGAGACACGGCCCAAACUCCUACGGGAGGCAGCAGUAGGGAAUCUUCCACAAUGGACGAAAGUCUGAUGGAGCAACGCCGCGUGAGUGAAGAAGGGUUUCGGCUCGUAAAACUCUGUUGUUAAAGAAGAACAUAUCUGAGAGUAACUGUUCAGGUAUUGACGGUAUUUAACCAGAAAGCCACGGCUAACUACGUGCCAGCAGCCGCGGUAAUACGUAGGUGGCAAGCGUUGUCCGGAUUUAUUGGGCGUAAAGCGAGCGCAGGCGGUUUUUUAAGUCUGAUGUGAAAGCCUUCGGCUCAACCGAAGAAGUGCAUCGGAAACUGGGAAACUUGAGUGCAGAAGAGGACAGUGGAACUCCAUGUGUAGCGGUGAAAUGCGUAGAUAUAUGGAAGAACACCAGUGGCGAAGGCGGCUGUCUGGUCUGUAACUGACGCUGAGGCUCGAAAGUAUGGGUAGCAAACAGGAUUAGAUACCCUGGUAGUCCAUACCGUAAACGAUGAAUGCUAAGUGUUGGAGGGUUUCCGCCCUUCAGUGCUGCAGCUAACGCAUUAAGCAUUCCGCCUGGGGAGUACGGCCGCAAGGCUGAAACUCAAAGGAAUUGACGGGGGCCCGCACAAGCGGUGGAGCAUGUGGUUUAAUUCGAAGCUACGCGAAGAACCUUACCAGGUCUUGACAUACUAUGCAAAUCUAAGAGAUUAGACGUUCCCUUCGGGGACAUGGAUACAGGUGGUGCAUGGUUGUCGUCAGCUCGUGUCGUGAGAUGUUGGGUUAAGUCCCGCAACGAGCGCAACCCUUAUUAUCAGUUGCCAGCAUUAAGUUGGGCACUCUGGUGAGACUGCCGGUGACAAACCGGAGGAAGGUGGGGAUGACGUCAAAUCAUCAUGCCCCUUAUGACCUGGGCUACACACGUGCUACAAUGGAUGGUACAACGAGUUGCGAACUCGCGAGAGUAAGCUAAUCUCUUAAAGCCAUUCUCAGUUCGGAUUGUAGGCUGCAACUCGCCUACAUGAAGUCGGAAUCGCUAGUAAUCGCGGAUCAGCAUGCCGCGGUGAAUACGUUCCCGGGCCUUGUACACACCGCCCGUCACACCAUGAGAGUUUGUAACACCCAAAGUCGGUGGGGUAACCUUUUAGG